This 670-nucleotide long non-coding RNA is filed under the name Anas platyrhynchos platyrhynchos (common mallard). Its description in RNAcentral is "lncRNA (ENSAPLG00000030617.1)". The record is from RNAcentral. Lineage: Eukaryota; Metazoa; Chordata; Aves; Anseriformes; Anatidae.
UUCCUCUUAGGUAGGGAGGUAUUAUUUUCUCAGCUUGAAAUGGGAAGCAGUCUCAGAGAGAUCUGUGAUAUUGAACAACUAUCAGAAAAAUGCUUUUCAUGGAUACUGCUGUAGAACCAAGUCUGGCAGAUCAGCACUUACGGUAGUGGGCAGUAUGGACUCAUAAUAGGAAAUAAAAAAUAAUUCAAACAGAAUUGAGAAGCAAAAUAAUGGAUUUAUUUCUGUUAUACUGGUGGGGGAACUAGACAGAGACUUUUAAGAGAUGAAGGCACUUGGGCAUUUCUUUUGGGUGGUGCAUUUUAUCUCCUAACUGAAACUUCAAAAAUAGCCCCCAAAACCUAGACUUAUUCUGCUUAACUUUAAAUGCUGAACUGUGAUAACUAAGCCAGUUGCCAACUCACUCCAGAUUCUUUUGAGAGUUAAUGAAGACAGCUGGCCUGAGAUGAGGCUGCAUCUUGUUUCAGAGACACUGCCUUGUUUCAGAGAGUAGAGGAGACUAAGUCAUCCUGAGAACACAGAGUCAAAAGGGAAGGUGAUACAUGUAAUUAGAUACUAUUACAGUACUGGGGACCAGGAACAGCCAUCCCUGCCUUUGUCACUGCAGGCUAUUGAUACAUACUACGAAAAACUACAUAAGACAACCCAGCUGGAAAUCAGAGCUGAAGAAUAA